Molecule: ribosomal RNA, 232 nt
Filed under: uncultured bacterium
Lineage: Bacteria
Description: partial 16S ribosomal RNA
Rfam family: Bacterial small subunit ribosomal RNA
Source: RNAcentral
UACGAAGGGGGGCUAGCGUUGCUCGGAAUCACUGGGCGUAAAGCGCACGUAGGCGGAUUGCUAAGUCAGGGGUGAAAUCCUGGAGCUCAACUCCAGAACUGCCUUUGAUACUGGCGAUCUCGAGUCCGGGAGAGGUGAGUGGAACUGCGAGUGUAGAGGUGAAAUUCGUAGAUAUUCGCAAGAACACCAGUGGCGAAGGCGGCUCACUGGCCCGGUACUGACGCUGAGGUGA